This is a non-coding RNA of Hydra vulgaris (swiftwater hydra), 1237 nucleotides long. The record is from RefSeq and is a predicted model, not a curated record. Lineage: Eukaryota; Metazoa; Cnidaria; Hydrozoa; Anthoathecata; Hydridae.
CUUUAAAUAAAAAGGAUAAACAUGAUGGAUUUCCAUUAUCUCAAGCAAACUUUCAAUAUUGUGUGUUGCUUCUCUUAAAUGAGAUAAAAACCCAAGGAUGCAAAAAACUUAAUAUAAAAUAGUGUGAAGAAGAAGUAGUAACUGAAAUGAACAGCAUAAUAGAAUUUGAUAAGUUUGACUCAGCACUUGACAAUGUUUCAUCUAGUAACUCUGUAGUAUCUCUGCAGUUAAACAAAGAGUUCAAAAUAUUAGUGGUAAGAACUGUCAAAAACUUGUGAUAGCUAUGAUGAAGAGGUUAGUAAAUUAAAAGUGCAUUCCUAUAAAUACUCUGUUUAAUUUUAUAAUGAUAUUACUCCCAUCUUACAAUCCAUAAUACAAAUCCCAUGCAUGGCUCUACGUUAGCCGUUUUACCAUAAUGGGAUGACUGAAUAACCAUGAAUUUCAUACGCGCAAACUAGCAUCUGUGCGAAGCAGUUACAAAAACUAGCACCUGUGCGAAACACAAUGCCAAAUAGCAUAAGUGCAAAUGGGCAUAACUGCACAAAAAAAUUCCAAACAUUGGCAUACGAGCAAACUGCUGUAAGUGUAAACUGGCAUAUGUGUAAAUUGGCAUAAGUGCGCUAAAUAGAUUUACAAACAUUUGCAUAAGUGUGAAUUGCCAUAAGUAGAAACUGGUAUAAAUGUGAAGCAGUUGCAAAAACUCGCAAAAGUGCAAACAACAUAAAUGCGAACUGGCAUAAGUGUGCUAAAUAAAUUUGCAAAAUUUAGCAUAAUUCAAACUGGCAUAACUGCAAAUUAGCAUAAGGCAAAAUGCCAAUCAGCACUUAGGCCAAUGUUUGCAAAUUUAUUACACGCACUUAUGUCAGUUUGCACUUCUGCCAGUUUUUGUAACUGUUUUGUACUUAAUCAAACUUUGCACUUAUGCCUAUUCGUAAUGUUUGCUAACCUGUUUGGCGCACUAAUGCUUAUUUACACUUUUUCCAGUUAGCAAGUUUAAAGCUAUAGGUUAUCCUACAGCUUUAAACUUUAGUCCAGAUAAUUCUUUUAACCCAGAUAAUAUUCAUAUAUAUGACUACACUAAUGGUUGGUGUACACUUAUGAUCUAGACUACAUUAAUGGUUAGUGUGCUAUUUUUUAAAUAAUAGGUUAGAUUUUAUAGAUAAACUGUAUCGGUAAAUUAAAAUCUAAAUGAUUAAUUACAUUUAGAUUUUAUGACAAAAAAAGAAAAAAAUUUUUA